AAUAAUUUAAAGCAAUCCACUAUUCAUAUUAAACGAAUAUGUCACUAUAACAUGUCGAAUAACAUUACAACUUUUCUGAACAAACAUAAAUGACAUACAAAUUCAACACUUCAUCUUAAUUAUAUUGAGCCUUCGUUUUUCCCCCUCUCGUAAUGCUCCUCAUCCAAGAGGAAAUCCAAUUCUUGCUUGGUGACUUCAGCUGCUUCUCCCAGGAUUCCUUAAUCACCUCCUCCACAAAAGUUAGUGUCAGAUAGAUUCGAUUAAAUAGUCUAACACAGUACAAAACCAUGAAAGCAUUUGCCCACCAUGAAGUUAGAAACACAAAUUGUUUGGAAAAAACAGGACCAAAAUUAAAAGAUCAAAUAAGGCAAUAUGAUGAUAUACAAAUUCAAUGAAUCAUGGUCUGUCUUCUUGUUCGCAAAAUAACUUUAUAAAUUAAUAUGAUAUAGAAAUUCAAUGAAUCCAAUUUAAUCAAUGAAUCCAAUUAAUUUUAAUCAAUGAAUCCAUCAACGCAUAUUUUUAGAUCAAUGAAUCCAAUUUAACCAUCAGCAUAUAUUUUUAGAUCAAUGAAUCCAAUUUAAUCAAGUUCAUAAUCAUAACCCGAAAACAAUAAGACAGACCAUAAUCAUAGUUUUACCUUCUGUACCUAAAUGAGAUCUCAUCAUAUUUUUUGCGAAUAAGGAUAUUAAUUUGCUGAAUUACUUUCUUUGCGUGAUAAACAAUUAUUAUAGUGUAUUUGAAUACGGUUCACAAUGUACCUAAAUAAGAAUUAUAUUUUUACGAAUAAGAAUAUUAAUUUGCCGAAUAACUUUCUUUGUGCGAUAAACACAUCACCCUCUAACCACCACUUCUGGACCUGUGGUUCGAUUUUCAAUAGACGGUUCCU
RNAcentral lists this long non-coding RNA (886 nucleotides) under Salvia miltiorrhiza (redroot sage). Its description in RNAcentral is "long non-coding RNA (SMIL_LNC000417)". Lineage: Eukaryota; Viridiplantae; Streptophyta; Magnoliopsida; Lamiales; Lamiaceae. The record is from RNAcentral.